Non-coding RNA from Poecilia reticulata (guppy), 453 nucleotides. The record is from RefSeq and is a predicted model, not a curated record. Lineage: Eukaryota; Metazoa; Chordata; Actinopteri; Cyprinodontiformes; Poeciliidae.
UGUAUACAUGGAGUGCUGCUUAGUGCUCUUAGAUAGGGUAUGAGAUUUUGCAUAACCCUUGUUCUUUUCAACAAAGGCUGGCCAACAGACAAUCAAUUUUUUUCCAUGGAUGUAAUAUGCAAGUACUGGACAUAACUUGAAAACUAACAAAAGGCUGUCCUAAGCUCCAACACCUGCUUAAAAUGAAGCCAUUUAUCUCAAUUUUCCAUGGCAAAGCCCAUGAAUAUGGACACAAAGCUUGUGCCAAGGCUCAUCGCAAGAUCAGAAAGGAGAAAACAUCUUAGCAUUAGCUUUAGAAGAUGUUGGUUACUUGAAGACUGAUACGGACACAGAAGUUCUGUCUUUGGAAGAGAUCCUGUCCGGUGACACAACAUUGCCAUGGCAGCAAUCACACAGUGACUCUGUCAGUCAUCACACAAAAACAAGGGCAAUCGAUGACAUCAUGAUAGUAAA